This 231-nucleotide ribosomal RNA is filed under the name Climacostomum virens. RNAcentral describes it as "partial Eukaryotic large subunit ribosomal RNA". It matches the Rfam family "Eukaryotic large subunit ribosomal RNA", at positions 2623 to 2854 of the family's 3401-position model. The record is from RNAcentral. Lineage: Eukaryota; Ciliophora; Heterotrichea; Heterotrichida; Climacostomidae.
GGCUGGGGCGGCACAUCUGUUAAACAGUAACGCAGGUGUCCUACGGUGAGCUCAAAGAGAACGGAAAUCUCUUGUCGACCAAAAGGGGAAAAGCUCACUUGAUUUGGAUUCUCAGUACUAAUACAAACCGUGAAAGCGUGGCCUAUCGAUCCUUUAACUUUACAAGUUUUAAGCUAGAGGUGUCAGAAAAGUUACCACAGGGAUAACUGGCUUGUGGCAGCCAAGCGUUCA